This 253-nucleotide ribosomal RNA is filed under the name uncultured bacterium. RNAcentral's name for it is "partial 16S ribosomal RNA". It matches the Rfam family "Bacterial small subunit ribosomal RNA", at positions 524 to 776 of the family's 1533-position model. The record is from RNAcentral.
GACGUAGGGUGCGAGCGUUGUCCGGAUCUAUUGGGCGUAAAGAGCUCGUAGGCGGCUCGUCGCGUCGACCGUGAAAACCCGCAGCUUAACUGCGGGCUUGCGGUUGAUACGGGCGGGCUAGAGUUCGGUAGGGGAGACUGGAAUUCCUGGUGUAGCGGUGAAAUGCGCAGAUAUCAGGAAGAACACCCGUGGCGAAAGCGGCUCUCUAGAACGGUACUGACGCUGAGACGCGAAAGCGUGGGGAGCGAACAGG